GAUGAACGCUAGCGGCAGGCUUAACACAUGCAAGUCGAGGGGUAUAGUAGCAAUACUAGAGACCGGCGCACGGGUGCGUAACGCGUAUGCAACCUACCUUUUACAGAGGGAUAGCCCCAGAGAAAUUUGGAUUAAUACCUCAUAGUGUUAUUAGAUGGCAUCAUUUGAUAACUAAAGUUCCAACGGUAAAGAUGGGCAUGCGUCCUAUUAGCUAGAUGGUAAGGUAACGGCUUACCAUGGCUACGAUAGGUAGGGGUCCUGAGAGGGAGAUCCCCCACACUGGUACUGAGACACGGACCAGACUCCUACGGGAGGCAGCAGUGAGGAAUAUUGGACAAUGGGCGCAAGCCUGAUCCAGCCAUGCCGCGUGCAGGAAGAAGCAUCUAUGGUGUGUAAACUGCUUUUGUACGGGAAGAAACACUCCUACGUGUAGGAGCUUGACGGUACCGUAAGAAUAAGGAUCGGCUAACUCCGUGCCAGCAGCCGACGG
Molecule: ribosomal RNA, 490 nt
Filed under: uncultured bacterium
Lineage: Bacteria
Description: bacterial SSU rRNA
Rfam family: Bacterial small subunit ribosomal RNA
Source: RNAcentral